GCCUAACACAUGCAAGUCGAGCGAUGAAAUUAGAAACGGAGUCUUCGGACGAAGAGGAAAAUGGAUUAGCGGCGGACGGGUGAGUAACACGUGAGCAACCUGCCUAUCACAUCGGGAUAGCCUCGGGAAACUGGGAUUAAUACCGAAUGAAACAUAAUCACUGCCUAGUGGAAAUGUCAAAGAUUUAUCGGUGAUAGAUGGGCUCGCGCCUGAUUAGCUAGUUGGGGAGGUAAUGGCUCACCAAGGCGACGAUCAGUAGCCGGCCUAAGAGGCUGAUCGGCCACACUGGAACUGAGACACGGUCCAGACUCCUACGGGAGGCAGCAGUGGGGAAUAUUGGGCAAUGGGCGCAAGCCUGACCCAGCAACGCCGCGUGAGGGAAGAAGGCUUUCGGGUUGUAAACCUCUGUCCUUGGUGACGAAACAAAUGACGGUAGCCAAGGAGGAAGCCCCGGCUAACUACGUGCCAGCCGCCGCGGUAA
RNAcentral lists this ribosomal RNA (481 nucleotides) under uncultured bacterium. Its description in RNAcentral is "partial 16S ribosomal RNA". It matches the Rfam family "Bacterial small subunit ribosomal RNA", at positions 46 to 523 of the family's 1533-position model. The record is from RNAcentral.